Diospyros lotus (date-plum) is the source of this 890-nucleotide long non-coding RNA. RefSeq lists it as uncharacterized. NCBI's taxonomy places the organism in Eukaryota, Viridiplantae, Streptophyta, Magnoliopsida, Ericales, Ebenaceae. The transcript is spliced from 3 exons. The record is from RefSeq and is a predicted model, not a curated record.
GAGCUUGGGCUAAGCAGCGGCCGCAAUAGAAGCUGGUCGCUUGAAGCAAGAGGUAAUUGGCGCGGAAGAGGCCGGCAAGGCGAGGCCGAAAGCGGCCAGAGUGGCCGCAAGCUCGCGGCGGCAGCCAUGGCCGCGAGCUCACAGCAAGCUGGGCGACGCAACUAGGGGGCCACGGCGGCGCCCGUGUUCGGCCAGUAGCAGCUGCGUCUGAGGUCGGCGGGGGUGUAGGCAGCGGCCAGCAAGGCUAGAGGAAGCCGCAAUGGCGGCUGGCGGCAACGGAGGCAGGCGGAGUGGCUGCUGGGCGUGUGGCUAUGGCAGUAGUCGCGCGUAGGAGGGAAAAGAAGAAGGGAAGAAGAAGAAAGAGGAAGGAAGAAGAAGAGAACAGGCAGGGAAAAAGAAGAAGAAGAAGAAGAAGAAAAAAAAAAAAGAAAAAAAAAUGGGAAAAAAAUGUCGAAAAAAAUCUCAAAAAUAGGAAAUUAUGUUUUGGUAAUAUUCUAGAGAUUUUGGCAAGAAAAACGGUUCGAGCACGCGUUUUGAGAAUAUGACACGCAUACCGAGGAAGUUAGAGAUGUUGAGUUAAGGUUGGCAAGCAAAUCGAGGCGAUGCACGAGGCAAGGCACGGAUAUCGAGGUAGCCCGAUAAGCUUGAGAAGAAUAUUCAAACAUUUCAGGUGGAGAUUGUAGCAGAUACGAGGAUAAAUGAGGCAUAAAAUGGCACUUAGCAGAGUGCAUGAGAAAUGAAAUGUAUGUAACGUAGCCCCUGUAUUUAAGUUCUGCUACUUUAGAUUUUGAACGUUUUGAGGAAUGUUGAAGAUAUAAGCAUUUAUGAUUAAUGUUAAGAUAUCAGAUUUCGAUCAUUGCUUCCGCAUUUGAUGUGUAUAGUGAUUCUCU